AACGAACGCUGGCGGCAGGCCUAACACAUGCAAAUCGAGCGCACCCUUCGGGGUGAGCGGCGGACGGGUGAGUAACGCGUGGGAACGUGCCCUUCUCUGCGGAAUAGCCUCGGGAAACUGAGAGUAAUACCGCAUACGCCCUUUGGGGGAAAGAUUUAUCGGAGAAGGAUCGGCCCGCGUUGGAUUAGGUAGUUGGUGGGGUAAUGGCCCACCAAGCCGACGAUCCAUAGCUGGUUUGAGAGGAUGAUCAGCCACACUGGGACUGAGACACGGCCCAGACUCCUACGGGAGGCAGCAGUGGGGAAUCUUAGACAAUGGGGGCAACCCUGAUCUAGCCAUGCCGCGUGAGUGAUGAAGGCCUUAGGGUUGUAAAGCUCUUUCAGCUGGGAAGAUAAUGACGGUACCAGCAGAAGAAGCCCCGGCUAACUCCGUG
This 433-nucleotide ribosomal RNA is filed under the name uncultured bacterium. RNAcentral describes it as "partial 16S ribosomal RNA". It matches the Rfam family "Bacterial small subunit ribosomal RNA", at positions 29 to 507 of the family's 1533-position model. The record is from RNAcentral.